CAACAAUGUUCCUCAGUGGCAGUUUUCUCACUGACUAAUGUACUACCCAGCGAAGGAUCAAGUCAGCAUUGGUGGUGGGAAACACGUUACUAAGCUUCUGCUAGGCCAAGUCAGUGAUCUACAGAGGGAUGAGGAGGUAGAGAAAUGCAGGACCUGAAACUAUAAUUACCUCCGUGGACAGGAAAACAUGGAAUAUCAGUGCCAAACACGUGUGGACACCAUCCCAUCAAGUGCAGCACUGACAUCCAUAGCAAGCUAUCUGUGCUGCUAAAAAGCUGGCAAAACUUUAUCAGGCAUCAGAAAACAGAAGGUACAGAGAAGAGACCGUGUGAGGAUACAGCUAAACAGGGCCAUCUACAAGCCAGGAAGAGAGGUCUCACUAGAAACCAAAUCUGCCUGCUCCUCUAUUUGGGACUUCUAGCCUUCAGAAUUGUG
This 435-nucleotide long non-coding RNA is filed under the name Equus caballus (horse). Its description in RNAcentral is "lncRNA (ENSECAG00000059320.1)". Lineage: Eukaryota; Metazoa; Chordata; Mammalia; Perissodactyla; Equidae. The record is from RNAcentral.